Molecule: ribosomal RNA, 433 nt
Filed under: uncultured bacterium
Lineage: Bacteria
Description: partial 16S ribosomal RNA
Rfam family: Bacterial small subunit ribosomal RNA
Source: RNAcentral
AGCGAACGCUGGCGGCAGGCCUAACACAUGCAAGUCGAACGGAUCCUUCGGGAUUAGUGGCGGACGGGUGAGUAACACGUGGGAACGUGCCCUUUGGUUCGGAACAACUCAGGGAAACUUGAGCUAAUACCGGAUGUGCCCUUCGGGGGAAAGAUUUAUCGCCAUUGGAGCGGCCCGCGCCUGAUUAGCUAGUUGGUGAGGUAACGGCCCACCAAGGCGACGAUCAGUAGCUGGUCUGAGAGGAUGAUCAGCCACACUGGGACUGAGACACGGCCCAGACUCCUACGGGAGGCAGCAGUGGGGAAUCUUGCGCAAUGGGCGAAAGCCUGACGCAGCCAUGCCGCGUGAAUGAUGAAGGUCUUAGGAUUGUAAAAUUCUUUCAGCGGGGACGAUAAUGACGGUACCCGCAGAAGAAGCUCCGGCUAACUUCGUG